CGUCAAUCACCCUCUUUGUUGCUCUGCGCCCCCUUUCCGCUCUCUGCAACUAGCAGAGCCUGUCUUGAAUGCUAAGGCUAUUAGUUAGCCUGGCCAUCAGUGACGGCAGAUAAAUGCUUUUCCUGUGUCGCAACAUGGUUGGAACCAGGUCGGCACCCCCUACCUCCAGAAAGUCAUGAAAUGAAUUGAAGCUGCAGCCGGUUUGGACCCUUCUGACCACUUGGUGGCGCCGCAGCUCCACAGCUUGUCAGAAAACCGCCUCUGCUCGGUUGGAAACAAAGGAACCAGUGGAUCUCCAUGUCGAGGGUACAGCUUUUUUGAUUUCUCAAAUACCAGAAAGACAAAGCGGAUUAGAGCCCAUUUGGAGAAGUUUAUUUGAGUGGAGCUCUGUUGUAAUUGGUGAAAUUAAGCCCCGUUUCACAGACCCUGAGCCGUAACACUCAAUGAACUGAACUGAACUCAGCUCCUGCAUCAGCUGUGAAUAAUGUAAUUUCAAUAAAUUGUCACAAGGAUUACUUUCUGAAAUUUACAGUGUCAAUCUUGGCAGAAAGUAGGAGGAUAUUUAUGAAAAAA
Molecule: long non-coding RNA, 573 nt
Organism: Poecilia latipinna (sailfin molly)
Lineage: Eukaryota; Metazoa; Chordata; Actinopteri; Cyprinodontiformes; Poeciliidae
Exons: 2
Source: RefSeq, a predicted model, not a curated record